CCUACGGGAGACAGCAGUGAGGAAUAUUGGUCAAUGGGCGGGAGCCUGAACCAGCCAAGUCGCGUGAGGGAAGACGGUCCUAUGGAUUGUAAACCUCUUUAGGCGGGGAGCAAUGCCGGGCACGCGUGCCCGGAGGGAGAGUACCCGCAGAAUAAGCCUCGGCUAACUCCGUGCCAGCAGCCGCGGUAAUACGGAGGAUGCGGGCGUUAUCCGGAUUUAUUGGGUUUAAAGGGUGCGUAGGCGGAUUUUUAAGUCAGCGGUAAAAUGUCCGGGCUCAACCCGGGCCGGCCGUUGAAACUGGGGAGCUUGAGUGGGCGAGAAGUAUGCGGAAUGCGUGGUGUAGCGGUGAAAUGCAUAGAUAUCACGCAGAACUCCGAUUGCGAAGGCAGCAUACCGGCGCCCGACUGACGCUGAGGCACGAAAGCGUGGGGAUCGAACAGGAUUAGAUACCCCAGUAGUC
This 460-nucleotide ribosomal RNA is filed under the name uncultured bacterium. RNAcentral describes it as "partial 16S ribosomal RNA". It matches the Rfam family "Bacterial small subunit ribosomal RNA", at positions 338 to 795 of the family's 1533-position model. The record is from RNAcentral.